Molecule: long non-coding RNA, 5305 nt
Organism: Mobula hypostoma (lesser devil ray)
Lineage: Eukaryota; Metazoa; Chordata; Chondrichthyes; Myliobatiformes; Myliobatidae
Exons: 9
Source: RefSeq, a predicted model, not a curated record
AGAGACGAGGAGGGAGGAGGACGGCGGACGUGCGGAGAGGCUCCGGUCGAUCACUCCGGGUGGUCCCGAGCCGUGAGUCGACGGAAUUCGGGUGGUCGUCUGACGUCGAAUUGAGCUCCAACGGUAGCGCGCGAAGAACUUGGACUUUGAUAAGUGUUGGCGCCUUUUUUUUCCCAUUACUUUCCUCUCUGUAUCAAAUGCAUAUUAAUGUCAUAGAAUUAGUAAUAUCUAUAAAGUGUAUUUGUUAAAAUUCACUGGGUGUGCUGGCUGAUGAUUGAUGUUCGGGAUUGAUUCGGGCGGUGACUGACCCUGAGGGGAGUGUUGAAGCAGGUGCUGGGCGGGAUUUCCCCUAGACACACACGAGCCAAUAUAACGGAACGUUACAUCUCUAUUUCUCUCUGUUUUGAUUGCAGAUUAAGCUCAAACACCUUGACGUGGUUCAACUUCGAUACUCAGUCCUCCCGAAUGAUCUGGAGAUCAUCCAGAUCGACUGUUUAAUGUGAAGUGUUAGAAGCUGCAGCUGGAUGCAUUUCCUGGAGGUGGACUCGUCAGGGACACUGGAGGUUUCUCUACCUUCCCACAUCAUGCAAGAGGAGCGUUCAACUAUCCUGCCUGACAUCAGUACUGUCCUAACUGUGCAAAUAUAAAGAAGGAAAACACAAGUAAAAGCAUAAUAGAGAGAGGAUGACACCACUCGAGGAUAAAACAGGAUCCGGUAAGGUCCCGGCCAUCAACGCUUACCUUCGGACUGAAUUUAUAGCACUGCGCAACUCAUUUAAGUGCCACAGACAGACGCAAUAUUAUCUGAUAACGAGAAGGAGACCCCUUAGGAGAACAUCAUACUCAACUCAAGUGAUCACACCUCAACUACUUGAAUGGCGGCAGCACUAUUGAUGUGUUUGAAUGCAAAAGGACACGGAAAGUGUUGACUAUGAGAAUGAAGAGGCAUUGAAUGGCUUAUUCUGGCAUUUACAAAAAUACAGAAAUACAAUAAAAUUUAUAUAUAAACAAAGACUGACAAACAACCAGGAAAACAAGUCAAGAAAAAGUUUAAAAAGGCAGGAACAAAAGAUGUUGGGAACGGCAAAGGUGAAUUGCUAUGGGACUGAUGGCAGAGAAGUUCCAGGGACAGAGUUGGCAUUGGUGCAGACACACCCAGCCCUGAGACACCAGUGAGAUGCUCGUCGGUGGAGAAACUGAAAGAGCUAGACGGAACAGAUCGUGCUGCUGCCUGCAUCAGGGAGGCUUCGGAUGAGUCGGUGCGCGAUGGGGGCAUGCAAUCUAAUAACAUCCAUGGAACAGAAGUAAAACACUGAAGAAUGACAGAAAAACAUUAGAACCCUAAAGCCCCCUCCCCCUCCCACACACAAGCACCAGCAAAGUGUCAACCCUUACCCAACCCCACAGUUAUUCCAGCAGAAAGCAUCAGCGUCCGCCUCCCACCAAGCAAUAGCAAAGCCCCCAAAGAGAGACCAUGAUCUGCUGUCCAACAAGAACCAUUCUUCAUACAACAGUUCGACAUGCCACAGGCUCUCUCUCUCUCUCUCUCACUAACAAGGGACAAAGAGGUGUCACCCAUUCCACAGCAAGAGGGGAGACGGACAGAUCGCUGUUUUGAUGUUAUAGUCUCGAGUGAUGCUUAUACAAGCUUGCCCGACUCUUCCCCUCCCCCCAUAGAGAGAGAGAGAAAUCAUACAUGUGAAGAAGCCUCCAACAGCCAUAACUGCUGUGUCGAUGUUCCAGUCCCCUGCAACGCCUCAGUUGGCAACACUGGCGAGGAAUCGGGUCCACAGGGGCCGGCCGAGGCUUCACUCUGAAGACAUACAUCUUCCAAGCUGUAACUUGAGAUAUUGAAAAUCUGGCCGAUCAGCGAGCUCUGGGAGUAAGAACCCACCAUUGUGAAGAACUGCAGUUUGAGUGCAGCUGUAGAUCACAGACUCUGACAUGACCCAGCCACCUUGAAAAGAAACGCAUAAAAAAAUUAAUAAAAAAAAAAGGAGAGGAAAUCAAGCUGUUUCGCAGAUGAGCUCGAAAAAGUUGCCCUCUGGCACCAUCUUGGCUCCUCCACCCUCGGAAUCAUGGCAUUUCUCAUUAGCUCACUAAAUUACAGCUCUUUUCCUGCAAUGUCUCGUAUGCAACAUACCUUGCAGUUAUAAAGCAUCUUGUUAUGCUCUAAAACAUCCCAUGGGUGGGUGACUCAUACAAAAUACUAGAAGAACUCAGCAGGUUUAGCGGUAUGCAUGGAAAAGAGUAGAGAGUCAAUGUUUCAGCUAUUCGUCAGGACUGGAAAGGAAGGGGGGAAGAAAGUAGAGGAGGGGAAGGAAUGCAGUCUGGCAGGAGACAGGUGAAGCCAGGUGAUGGGGAAAGUAGGUUGUUCAGGAAGGGGAGGACAAAGUAAAGAGCUAUGAGGGGAUAGGUGGGAAAGGUAAAGGGCUGAAGAAGAAGGAAUUUGAUAGGAGGGGAGAUUGGACCAUUAGAAAAAGGGAAAUGAUGGUCAGGUGAGCAGGUGAGGAGAAGAGACCAGGUAAGAGGGGAGCCAGAAUGGGGAAUGAAAAACAGGAGAUGGGGAGGAGGAAGGGGAGGAACGACCGGAAGAUAAACGUGCUAAGCCAUGGCUGGCAAGUUAUUAAGCAAGAUUUGACACUGAGCCACAUGUUGGCUCAGCUCACCAAUAGCUCAGCCAAGAGCUGGGCCUGUUCGAAAGAAGGAAAAGUCCCUGGAGAAGAGACAAGAUUUAAUGAGGGAACACCGGUCUCAGCCAACAAGGGUAACGUCAAACAAAGCCAAACUGGAUAUAUGCCAAACUGAGGGAACACGAGAAUUUAUGCCUGGUUGUUGAGCUGGUUAGGUAACCAGGGAGUAAUGGAGUUUAAAAUUGAGGCACAGGAAGUGUUGGAAUAGGGUCUUAAUUGUUAUUUUCUUGUAGUUUAACUUCCUUUGUGCUUGCUUAUAUGUAUAAUCACCUGUUUGUCUGUAAAAGGUCAGUGGAUCUUCAGUAAUUUGAAGUAUAUCCAGUUCUGUUCUUCAGUAGUUUAUUUGCCUGUGAGCCUGAGAUGGCAGGCAGCAUGAAUCAAGACCGACCAUGCGGUGUCAAGGCUGCUCUUAUCAGAGACGAAUCCCUCAUCUGUCCAUCUUGAAGCAGUUUUCAGUAUAAAGAGGGACAACAAGGCAGGUUCUUUGCCAGAGUGAGUUGGUUGAAGUUAGAGUUAGUUACCUGCUGCUGUUCUUUACUGCUGUGCAUCUAAUACACCACUGUGCAAAAUCUAAGGCAUAUAUAUAUAUAUAUAUAUUAGGCCAUCGAACUUUCAGCUCCUCCAGUGGAGAGUCAGACACCUUGAACCAAUAGGCUGGUCCUGGACUUAUUUCCAUCUGGCAUAGUUUGCAUAUUGUUGUUUGAUUGUUUGUGGUUUUUGUAUUGCUAUAUUUAUGCUCUAUUCUUGGUUGGUGCAGCUGUAACGAAACCCGAUUUCCCUCAGGUUCAAUAAAGUAUAUCUAUCUAUCAAUCAAUCUAUCUAUCUACCUAUUUAUAUCUAGGGUGCCUAAGACUUUUGCACAGUAUUGUAUUUGUCAACAUGGAGUGGAGAGUGAGUUUGUAAAUCUGGCUGGAGCAAGGGAUGUUGGGAAUGGCAAGGGUGGUGCGCCAUGUGAGGGGUGUGGGUCAGGUGGCAGAGAAGGAGCGCCGGGCCACUGGGGGGGAUUACAGUUACACUCAGCCCUGAGACACCAGUCAUGGUCAUUUGAUUGCAAAAAAUUGCUUUAUUGAUCAUUACAGAAUGUCUCUCUGGUGCUUCCCUCUCCCUUCCCCUUUUCCCAACCAUGAUUCCCCUCUCCCUCUCCCCUUCCUAUUCUCAGUCUACAAUAGAGACCCAUAUCAGAGUCAGGUUUAUCAUCACUCACAUACGUCAUUAAUAUUUGUGUUUUUUUUAUGGCAGCAGUACAGUGCAAUACAUAAAAUUACUUCAGUCCUGUGCAAAAGCCUUAGUUAUACUAAGACUUUUGCACAGAAUGAUACGUUUGUCAUCACCUCAUACUUUGUUCCAAUCACCUUAAAAAUAUGCCCCUUGUAUGAGCCAUUUCUGCCCUGGGAAAAAGUCUCUGGCUGCCGACUCAAUCUAUGCUUCUCAUUUCUUCCAGUAUCACAAAGAUGAUUGGGUUGGUAGGUUCAUUGGCCUCUGGUUUCCCUCUUCCCCCUCUUCCAUCGGGCAAAAGCAUGUGCCACCAGACUCACGGACGGUUUCUACCCCUCUGUAAUAAGUUCCCUAGUACAAUAACCUCAAAUCCUACCUUGUUUUGAUCUUGCACCUUCUUGUUUAUCUGCACUGCACCUUCUCUGUAGCUAUUACACUUCAUUCUGCAUAAAAUUACUACAGUACAUUGCAAAAGUCUUAGGCACCCUAGCUUUGUGCCUGAGACUUUUCCACCAUAUUGUAUAACAGCUGUAACCACGAGAUUUAUACCUCAUACUUGACUUCCCGAAGAACUUUCUGGAUAACAUGAGCAGCACGAUAGCAUAAUGGUUAGUGUAACACUGAUACAGGACCAAUGGCCUGGACUCAAUCCUGCCAUUGUCUGUAAGAAGUUUGUACGGUCUUCCCUGCUACUGCCCGGGUUUCCUCCAGGUGCUCUGGUUUCCUCCCACACUCCAUAGUAGUACAGGUUAGUAAAAUAAUUGGUCACAUUGGGUGGUGCAGACUCACUGGGCCGGGAUGGACUGUUAUUGUGGUGUUGCUCUAAAUAACUUUAAUAUCAUCUCCCAAUCUCCAGACCCUGCCCCCCCCGGGAAUACAUGGCUCCUCCGUAGACAGAAUUAAGUGCACUAAGUUCAUGGGAUUUCACAUCAUGACUAACCUACCUAGUCCCUUAAUAUCACCUCCAUGAACAAGAAGGCACAGCAGCACCUCCACUUCCUAAGCAGACUGAGGCAAGUAAAGCUCCCCCAUCAUUUUAACUGCAUUUUACUGGGGCACCAUUGACAGUGUCCUGACAAGUUGCAUCUCCAUCUGGUAUUGGAGAAGUCGAGCAUUGGACCUGAAGUCCCUACAAAGGACUGCGAGAACAGCUGAGAGGAUCAUAGGGGUCUCCCUACUAUCCAUCGGGAACAUUUAUCAGGAGCACCGUGCACACAGGGCCCUCAGUAUUAUUAAGGAUCCCUCCCAUCCAUCCAGUGUCCUCUUUGACUUUCUACCAUCAGGCAUGAGAAUCCGAUGUAUAAAACCAAGAACGGUGAGGAUGACAAGUAGUUUCUUCCCCCAGGCCAUUAGGCUUCUGAACUCCCCGCCGCAUCACAUUCAAUGUGUCACUGGUU